This 624-nucleotide RNase P RNA is filed under the name Collybiopsis luxurians FD-317 M1. Its description in RNAcentral is "Gymnopus luxurians FD-317 M1 Nuclear RNase P". It matches the Rfam family "Nuclear RNase P". From Rfam's summary of the family: Ribonuclease P (RNase P) is a ubiquitous endoribonuclease, found in archaea, bacteria and eukarya as well as chloroplasts and mitochondria. The record is from Rfam by way of RNAcentral. Lineage: Eukaryota; Fungi; Basidiomycota; Agaricomycetes; Agaricales; Omphalotaceae.
GCAGCCAUAACACCACGAUGCUCGUUCCGCACAGAGCCUCAGUAGGCUUUUUUUCACGAGCGGGUAAGGUCUGAGUAUGCUCCCAUGAUUGGCUCUAGCUGGGUCCAGGAUUAACUUCACCUGAGCAACAUAUCAGAAAAUAGCCAGCAACGCAUCUGUAUCUCUAAGAUCUAUGGUUGCCUCUUUCGAGAUAAGGAGAGGGAGCUAUAGGGAGAGGACUGCGCUUAUGGCUUGGAAGUUGUUGCGGAGCUGGAGUGCUUUGGGCUUGUUCUGAAUGCUUUUAUCGGCGACGUGGUGUUUCUUUCGAAACGCCAGGCACGCUCCGACUCAUUGGCUACGGCCUCUUGGGUUUUGUGCCUUCUCGAGUUCUCAUUUUUGGACUUCGAGGCGAUGGGUGUACAUCUUCAAUCUGACCUGACAGUUGGAAAUUGCACCGAGCGUACCGCGCCGGGCGUCCCCUUUUCCCUACCUCCCACAUUUUGCCUGACGGUAUCGCCUCAAGUACGAGGAAGAGUCACAUUCUCCAAGCUCAGAGUGUUCUUUAGUGCACUUCGUGGUGCGCGUUGGAAGUCAUCUUUUGGUUACUCCCGACGCGCGACUCGAUUCAGACUACUCUAUGUCUGC